This 85-nucleotide transfer RNA is filed under the name Streptomyces spiralis. RNAcentral's name for it is "tRNA-Sec". Lineage: Bacteria; Bacillati; Actinomycetota; Actinomycetes; Kitasatosporales; Streptomycetaceae. The record is from RNAcentral.
ACGUGCUCUUGGCGACCGGGGUGACGCCGACCGCCUUCAGGGCGGCCGCUGCCGUCGCGGUGUCGUCCUGGCCGACGUACGCGUC